AGAAAUUUAGGUUAAUAAAACCAAGAGCCUUCAAAGCUCUAAAAGAGAGUACAAACUCCCAAUUUCUG
RNAcentral lists this transfer RNA (68 nucleotides) under Varanus salvadorii. Its description in RNAcentral is "tRNA-Trp". It matches the Rfam family "tRNA". From Rfam's summary of the family: Transfer RNA (tRNA) molecules are approximately 80 nucleotides in length. Their secondary structure includes four short double-helical elements and three loops (D, anti-codon, and T loops). Lineage: Eukaryota; Metazoa; Chordata; Lepidosauria; Squamata; Varanidae. The record is from RNAcentral.